AGGAAUAUUGGUCAAUGGGCGAUGGCCUGAACCAGCCAAGUAGCGUGAAGGAUGACUGCCCUAUGGGUUGUAAACUUCUUUUAUAAAGGAAUAAAGUCGGGUAUGCAUACCCGUUUGCAUGUACUUUAUGAAUAAGGAUCGGCUAACUCCGUGCCAGCAGCCGCGGUAAUACGGAGGAUCCGAGCGUUAUCCGGAUUUAUUGGGUUUAAAGGGAGCGUAGAUGGAUGUUUAAGUCAGUUGUGAAAGUUUGCGGCUCAACCGUAAAAUUGCAGUUGAUACUGGAUGUCUUGAGUGCAGUUGAGGCAGGCGGAAUUCGUGGUGUAGCGGUGAAAUGCUUAGAUAUCACGAAGAACUCCGAUUGCGAAGGCAGCCUGCUAAGCUGCAACUGACAUUGAGGCUCGAAAGUGUGGGUAUCAAACAGGAUUAGAUACCCUGGUAGUCCACACGGUAAACGAUGAAUACUCGCUGUUUGCGAUAUACGGCAAGCGGCCAAGCGAAAGCGUUAAGUAUUCCACCUGGGGAGUACGCCGGCAACGGUGAAACUCAAAGGAAUUGACGGGGGCCCGCACAAGCGGAGGAACAUGUGGUUUAAUUCGAUGAUACGCGAGGAACCUUACCCGGGCUUAAAUUGCACUCGAAUGAUCCGGAAACGGUUCAGCUAGCAAUAGCGAGUGUGAAGGUGCUGCAUGGUUGUCGUCAGCUCGUGCCGUGAGGUGUCGGCUUAAGUGCCAUAACGAGCGCAAUCCUUGUUGUCAGUUACUAACAGGUGAUGCUGAGGACUCUGACAAGACUGCCAUCGUAAGAUGUGAGGAAGGUGGGGAUGACGUCAAAUCAGCACGGCCCUUACGUCCGGGGCUACACACGUGUUACAAUGGGGGGUACAGAGGGCCGCUACCACGCGAGUGGAUGCCAAUCCCUAAAACCCCUCUCAGUUCGGACUGGAGUCUGCAACCCGACUCCACGAAGCUGGAUUCGCUAGUAAUCGCGCAUCAGCCACGGCGCGGUGAAUACGUUCCCG
RNAcentral lists this ribosomal RNA (1018 nucleotides) under uncultured bacterium. Its description in RNAcentral is "bacterial SSU rRNA". It matches the Rfam family "Bacterial small subunit ribosomal RNA", at positions 357 to 1376 of the family's 1533-position model. The record is from RNAcentral.